RNAcentral lists this ribosomal RNA (253 nucleotides) under uncultured bacterium. Its description in RNAcentral is "partial 16S ribosomal RNA". It matches the Rfam family "Bacterial small subunit ribosomal RNA", at positions 524 to 776 of the family's 1533-position model. The record is from RNAcentral.
UACGGAGGGUGCAAACGUUGCUCGGAAUUAUUGGGCGUAAAGCGCACGUAGGCGGCUCAGCAAGUCGGGUGUGAAAGCCCUCGGCUUAACCGAGGAAGUGCAUUCGAAACUACUGAGCUUGAAUACUGGAGAGGGUUGCGGAAUUCCCGGUGUAGAGGUGAAAUUCGUAGAUAUCUGGAGGAACACCGGUGGCGAAGGCGGCAUCCUGGACCAAUUCUGACGCUGAGGAGCGAAAGCCAGGGGAGCAAACGGG